RNAcentral lists this small RNA (630 nucleotides) under Pan troglodytes (chimpanzee). RNAcentral's name for it is "retained intron". The record is from RNAcentral. Lineage: Eukaryota; Metazoa; Chordata; Mammalia; Primates; Hominidae.
AUCUAUUGAUUUUUAAAACCAUCAUGAAAAUGCCCACGUGUGUCUUGUAUUUUAAGUGUCACAGGUGACCUCUGCUCUGGGACUUUUUCUUGGGGUAACAUGACAGUUUGCAGUUGAUGUUACAUAAUUUUCUGCUACUCAGGAACUCAAGUCUUUGGGAAUAAGACCUAGAGAAAGUCCCCAGCUUAGAGCCCCCAGCAUCUCUCCCUGGGGAAGGACUGGUGUGGGGGCCGCCUGGGGAGAGUGGAGCUCCCUCUGCUGUGACUGUUCUCUCCUCUUCCCUCAGGCUCUCCAGCACCAAGAGGGCCGUGAAGGCGGCCUUGGCAGAUGACUUUGACACACCCAGGGUGGUUGAUGCCAUCCUGGGCCUUACACACCACGGGAAUGGACAGCUCAGGGCGUCCCUGAAGAAGCCAGGAGAAAGGCCAGACUGAAGUGACCUGCUGAAGCCUUUGUCUUUUGACAUUGAAUUCCGUUUGCCCACUGCCAUCAAGACUGCUUUUAAGGAGCUUCCGCGACAUGAUCUCUUACAGGAACCUGGAGGGCCGAGAAGUCCUGCUGUGUUUGGUGCCAUCAUCUCUUACUUUGAACAGUUUUUUGAAACUGUUGGAAUUUCUCUGGCAAAUCAAC